GCUCAAGAAGCUGAUUAAGCGGUUAGCCUGCAAAGUUAAUUAUAGGAUGUAAUGUCCCUUGAGCU
This 65-nucleotide transfer RNA is filed under the name Tridacna gigas (giant clam). Its description in RNAcentral is "tRNA-Cys". Lineage: Eukaryota; Metazoa; Mollusca; Bivalvia; Cardiida; Cardiidae. The record is from RNAcentral.